UGUUUGUUCUGCAGGGUUUCAGUCAGAACGUUCCACCUCUCGUGGCUGCUAAUGGCAGGUGUGCAUGCCUCUGCAUUAAUCAGGGUGCUGUGAACCUGCCGUUUAAUCGCAGAGGAAGCCGAGCAGCAUUUUCUGCUUUUUAGAUAGUGACAGCUGGAGAUAUGGACAGGAAAGGCAGCAGAGAGAUAGAAAGGGGAUGACAUGCAGCAAAGGGCUGGAAUCCAACCGGGCGCUGUAUUAAGGGCACACUCUACCAGCAGGUUUAUGGCGCAGCGACACACCUUACAUGGACCUGGCACGGUUUGUCUGCUCAAAAUAAGAGAUGGCGGGUCUGCCCCCCGUACACCCUGACAAAGUGGCUGUUGCUUCGAUCCCUGAGUCAAUAUUGACCACCAGCCAGCAGGAGAGUGAAGCAGCAGCAGCAGCAGCAGCAGCAGCAGCAGCAGCAGCUGGGAGGAGG
This is a long non-coding RNA of Dicentrarchus labrax (European seabass), 460 nucleotides long. RefSeq lists it as uncharacterized. The record is from RefSeq and is a predicted model, not a curated record. NCBI's taxonomy places the organism in Eukaryota, Metazoa, Chordata, Actinopteri, Moronidae. The transcript is spliced from 4 exons.